Molecule: long non-coding RNA, 1478 nt
Filed under: Vitis vinifera (wine grape)
Lineage: Eukaryota; Viridiplantae; Streptophyta; Magnoliopsida; Vitales; Vitaceae
Description: long non-coding RNA (VVIN_LNC001029)
Source: RNAcentral
GAUCAUAAAAUUUAUUUAUUUUACUACUUUGAAUAGGAAUUUGGUAAUUGGUAAAUUUACAGUUACAAUACGAAUGUUGUGUCGUUUCCACUUUAAGCCUUUGGGCUUGAGGUGUGAAAUGACUGUCAUACCCUUGGAGUGGGUUUUGGGGCAUGACAUCAUAAGUUCGGUACAUACGAAAUCAGUACAUUAGAAUUCUCAUCAUACCUAUUAGAAGUUGACUGGAAAAUGUGAAGUUGGCAUUUCACAAGAAGCUGCCUUCUUUGGUGAUGAAGAAUUGGGCCUCUAGGGAAGUUGAAUGAUGGACCCCAAGAUGUAUGAAGUUACAUUGCUAAAACCUCUCUGUAUAGAGAAAGCUUCUUUGGAGAUUAUCCAGGAUCAACUAUGGUAGGAUGUCUGGAAAUUUCGGUUGGUGGCGAGCUUCCUCAAAGCUUUGAAUCGAGGAUGGAUGAACAAAACAAGGAGUAUGUACAAGCUGAAUACAUGGGGAAACCUGCGAAGUGUGAAUCAAUUUUUUAGUAUCCAGAUAGUAGCCUUCUUCUACUGCUGCUGAGUGCACACCCUUUGUGCUCUCAUCUGGACAGAAAAGACAAGUAUGGUUGAAAAACAUUCAGAAUUUUUCAAUAUUUGGACUAAGAUUGAUUGAAACUGGGCUAUUGAAGUUUAUGAGUAAAACCCGAUGUUCAAAUUAUAUGCUAAACAUAAGAAUUAAGAGUUCAACCUGGAGGCUUUUUGCUCUUCAUCUACAAAGUCAGAAACUAAAGUCACAUCCAUUCAUCCCAACUGAUCUAGCCAUAGACAACCAGAACCUAAACUGUGUAGAACUGGAAAACGAAUCCUUAGGUUAUUUGUUGAACUUACCGGGGCUGAAGAAUCCUUUCUAAAAACAGAAAUUGGCAAUGAUUAGCUCAAAGCGGGAUGCAUAUACAAAGGUUCUUCCACAAGUUACUGAAUGCCAGAACCAAUAGGAAUCAUAUUAACAACAUAAGCAAUGAGUAUGGUGAGAAGCUGACUGAUCCCAUGCUAGUAUGAGAAACUUUUCAUCCUCUUUGAGUCUUGAUCCAUUAGUACCCAGAAUUUGUAAGAGAAAUUGCUUUGACAUCAACCUCAACCCAAAGGUAGGUUAGCCCUAUCAUUUCUGGAAAUGAGUGGAACUGGUAUGUCACUGUCACUCAGAAAAUUUUGGAGAUUAAAAGGGCUCAGCCUAUAGCCUGUUUUUUCUUUCAUUGUAGUGCUUAAGGAUAAAAUCAUAUGGAUGGGCAAUUAGAAAGGCUUUCCCUGUUCAUUCAGCUUGGAGGCAUCUCCUGGAUACUCCCUUCCUAAAGUGGAAAUGUUUGAGACUUCCUAGAGAUGGGGACGGUCCUUUUGCUUGCUAUCCAUAAGAGAAUAUCCACAUUUGACAAGAUCAUAACCAAAGGAAUCACUUCUCAGGCCUCAUGCAUAUUUUGUAGACUAGUAAUUGAAGACAUCAAUCAGAU